CAAAAAGUAGUUUAUAUAAAAUAAUAGGUUUGGAUACUAUAGAAAUCAAUAUUCUUUUUGA
Molecule: transfer RNA, 61 nt
Filed under: Hyalella tiwanaku
Lineage: Eukaryota; Metazoa; Arthropoda; Malacostraca; Amphipoda; Hyalellidae
Description: tRNA-Pro
Source: RNAcentral